Molecule: ribosomal RNA, 504 nt
Filed under: uncultured Geobacter sp.
Lineage: Bacteria; Pseudomonadati; Thermodesulfobacteriota; Desulfuromonadia; Geobacterales; Geobacteraceae
Description: bacterial SSU rRNA
Rfam family: Bacterial small subunit ribosomal RNA
Source: RNAcentral
AGAGUUUGAUCCUGGCUCAGAACGAACGCUGGCGGCGUGCCUAACACAUGCAAGUCGAACGAGAAAGGGGCUUCGGCUCCGAGUAAAGUGGCGCACGGGUGAGUAACACGUAGGUAACCUGCCUCUAAGAUUGGGAUAACUUGUCGAAAGACGAGCUAAUACCAAAUAAGACCACGGUCUCCUCGGGGACAGAGGUCAAAGGUAGCCUCUAUUUAUAAGCUAUCGCUGAGAGAUGGGCCUGCGUACCAUUAGCUAGUUGGUGAGGUAACAGCUCACCAAGGCAAAGAUGGUUAGCUGGUCUGAGAGGAUGAUCAGCCACACUGGAACUGAGACACGGUCCAGACUCCUACGGGAGGCAGCAGUGGGGAAUAUUGCGCAAUGGGCGAAAGCCUGACGCAGCAACGCCGCGUGAGUGAUGAAGGCCUUCGGGUCGUAAAGCUCUGUCGGAGGGAACGAAUGCUCCUGAAGUUAACAGCCUCAGGAGGUGACGGUACCCUCAAAGAG